ACCUUGAUGGUGUGUCUAGUGGUUAGGAUUCCUGGCUUCCCUUCAUCCAGGCUCCCCAGGUUCAAUUUCGGGGCAGGGAG
RNAcentral lists this transfer RNA (80 nucleotides) under Cervus elaphus hippelaphus. RNAcentral's name for it is "tRNA-Gly". Lineage: Eukaryota; Metazoa; Chordata; Mammalia; Artiodactyla; Cervidae. The record is from RNAcentral.